AUUGAACGCUGGCGGCAUGCCUUACACAUGCAAGUCGAACGGCAGCACGGGAGCAAUCCUGGUGGCGAGUGGCGAACGGGUGAGUAAUAUAUCGGAACGUGCCCGGUCGUGGGGAUAACGUAGCGAAAGCUACGCUAAUACCGCAUACGAUCUACGGAUGAAAGCGGGGGAUCGCAAGACCUCGCGCGAUUGGAGCGGCCGAUAUCAGAUUAGGUAGUUGGUGAGGUAAAGGCUCACCAAGCCGACGAUCUGUAGCUGGUCUGAGAGGACGACCAGCCACACUGGGACUGAGACACGGCCCAGACUCCUACGGGAGGCAGCAGUGGGGAAUUUUGGACAAUGGGCGCAAGCCUGAUCCAGCAAUGCCGCGUGCAGGNUNAAGGCCUCGGGUUGUAACUGC
RNAcentral lists this ribosomal RNA (400 nucleotides) under uncultured bacterium. Its description in RNAcentral is "bacterial SSU rRNA". It matches the Rfam family "Bacterial small subunit ribosomal RNA", at positions 30 to 433 of the family's 1533-position model. The record is from RNAcentral.